This 201-nucleotide long non-coding RNA is filed under the name Lathyrus oleraceus (garden pea). RNAcentral's name for it is "Pisum sativum (pea) long non-coding RNA (PSAT_LNC041110)". Lineage: Eukaryota; Viridiplantae; Streptophyta; Magnoliopsida; Fabales; Fabaceae. The record is from RNAcentral.
CCAUUUCCGUUGUAUCGCUUGUUCCAUCAGCUCGCGUCGAAUCCUUCAACAACGAUAUCAGCAAGAGAGGAGUUGUUCGACAACAUGCGUUCUACAAGCUUACCGCAGAACGCAUGCACCUUACAGAAAUCAUGGCUCUGCUACAGCAUCAAGGCUUUGUCAACUUUCUGGAAUGCAACACUAAAUACAGCGAAGACUUAG